UUUUUUGUCGAAAUAAUGAUGUUGGAGGCGAUUUGGCACCUCCUCCUCUCACUGGCGGUGUGGCGGUGUCAGUGUGGUAAGCGACGUCAACACCGUCAUCUCUGCCGCUGCCGCCGCCACGCUGAUCCCCCCCUGUACACAACAGAAAGGCUGACCCUACGCUCAAUACUGAACUCCACCUUAUUUACUGUGAAUGUGAGACUCGCCUUUCCCUGUCCCACCAGACAGACCAUGACGGAGGAAGGGUGUCUGCUGGUGAUGGUGGUGGACAUGCACCCCCAGCUGGCUGAGCACGACGCUCACACGUACUUCAAUGCUGUUGUGGCCUUUGCUAACCUGCACCUGGCUGCUAACGUCCGAAACUCUUUAGGAGUCCUUGCAGCCAACCACCUGGAGUCAAGGUUCCUGUACCCAAGCUGUAACGGUGACGGGGUUGAGAGGCAAAAGGAUGGUCGUCUGGAAAUGCUAGGGCAGGUAGACCGAGCCAUUGAGAGAGGCCUGAAGACCAUGGCUGUGGCAGCGGGAGCCAGUCCAGUGCACCUAGAGCAGAGUGAGUCCCUCCUCUCUGGAGCCAUUGGCAGGGGGCUCCUCUACAUCAAGAGGCGGGAGACUGAGGAAGUUCUAACCAAGAAGUUGCAAUCGAGACUGUUAGUGCUUAAAAUAUCAUCGGACACCGGGAGCCAGUACCUCACCUACAUCAAUGCUUACCUGACGGCACAGAAGAUGUCAACACCAGUUGAUGUUUGUGUUGUGGGGGGUGACUGCGGCCUCCUGCAGCAGGGUGCUGACAUCACAGGUGGGACCUACCACUGUGUGCGACAGGUGACAGAGCUCCUCCAGACAUUGCUGCUCAUGUACCACUGUGGUCCAGCUAUUCGCAGGAAGAUGAAUGCUCCACCACCUGACACAGUGGAUUACCGCGCUGCCUGCUUCUGCCACCGUACACUGGUAGAUAUGGCCAGUGUGUGCUCCAAUUGCCUCUCUGUUUACUGCAAGGCCGUGCCACUCUGCACCACCUGCAAUGUCAUCUUCCAGACUGAUCGGCCUCUUGUUCGUCUUAGCAAGAAGAAAAAAUGAGAGCGAUGAUAGACUGGGGGAAGUGGAGCAUUGCCCUCCUUUUGUGGAAAGGUUAAGAGGAACAAGAACAGAGUGGUGGAAGGAGAGGACUUGAUAUUAUUCCCGGCAGUGCCACACCUCACAAUUCAUGGCAUGGUGUGUUGGCAGGGAGGCAGUGAUGCAUGGGCUGCAGAGUUGAGCUGGAGAGUCUCACAGCCUCAGGCCACACUACUCACCAUAUACAAGUAUGCCCUGAGUGAGGAUAGAUGAAGAUGGGAGGUGAAGAAUAGAGACAUGGAUAAACUGGUUGGCAAAGGAACCAUGGGACUGCACAUGGAGUGAUCUAUAUGGCCUGCCAUUGUUGUCAAUAACAUGCAGCAAGCAAAGGUCACAAAAUGACAAGACAAACAUGAGAGCUUUGAGGACAAGAAUCUGAAAUAUACAAGAGCAGUGAUCCACUACCCACAGUACAUGAUCUCUGCAUACAAACAAUAAGCACCAGUAGGUACAUCUAGAAUUCUACGAUAAGUGAAACGCUUGGGGUCUCGUAUAAACACGUCGUCCCCUUUGUCCGGGAGAAUCUUCCAGGUGCGGUUGACAAGCUUCAGCACGGGGGGCUGCUCCGUGGCCGAGGUGCUUGGGCCGGGUUGCGCGGAGACCUCCAUCGUGUCUGGCCUGUGUUGUUGUUUGGCCUCGGAACGUUGUGGUGGUGGUGGUGGUGGUGCUUUGCGGGAGUCCGUGUUUGUAACGGCGCACUUUAUGUCUCGUGAUGGGGCAAGGAAAUGCAUCAGCACUGUCUGCGACUCUACAUAGGAGCUGCUGAUCCAAAGGCCUUGUCUACCCAGGACACCCAUCCUCCCUAGGUCACUGCUGGAGAGGAUAAGGAAAGUGGCUCCAUGGACCUCCUAAGAAACUGGUCCGAUCAACAGUCCCAGUGUCCAACGACACCAGGACACCUCUACUCACAAUGAAGAGGAAAGUGAAAGUGGCUCACACAAAUUAUGGUCUAGUUCAACAGAGAGGCCAGUGUGAAAAUGUCCCAAACAACUAAUGUUUCAUGGAAAGUGGAUGAAAAUGGUAUAAACAAACUUUUCAUGUGGCCCUUAAAUUGUGAAAGCUCGAGGCAGGUAACACACGAGAUGGAAAUCAACACUGGUAGAGAAGGCCACAUCCCUGGUUUCUAGUGGAAGGAGGCAGAGCUGCAGAGAGUGGAGAAGACAGACCAUAACAAAGUACCACUUUAAUGAAAGAAAAGCACUCCUUCUCUAACACACGAACUACAUGACAUUGGUCACCCCUUAGAGAGGUAGUUGCUCUAGCACAGGUACCACGCCCAUUCACUUCACACACGGCUGUCCCAGGCAUCACACAGGUACAGGAACCCAAGGAGAGGACAAGGAAUGGAGCAGGGUGUAGGGGUGGAGAGUAGGCAGAGCAGUAUCCAGCAGUGACCAGGAUUGAAACAGGAGGUGGAUGUAGAACCACCAGCAAGCCCGAGUGGUAUGGUGGUUCAUCCAAAGGCUGGUCUGGACUCAGGCUGGCUAGACAUGGCUGCCAGGAGACUGGCUCAGGUCCCCCAAAGCGAGCGGUGAGCAGGGCUUCAUGGGAGAAUACUUCUGGAGGCAGAGGCAAGUCUAGGUAGUGUUGACUUCGCCAGAGCUCAGGAGAAUCUGCCUUCCCUCGGUCUCGUCUCCCAGGCGUCAGGUCGGAAGCCGGAAUUCAGCACAGGAGACGGUAUUUCUCAAGUGAUGCCAACCCUGGAGAAGAUGGACAACAAGGCUUCUGCAAUGGCAAUAGAGGUUAUUUCUGAGAGGUACGGCUUCUGGGAAUCCGGUUGCAAAAUCAAUUAAAGUUAAGGUAACGAUGGCCUUCAGAUGAUGGUGGAGACAAGGGACCCACGAUGUCAAUAGCCACUCUUAAGAAACAGUUCAGUGAUGAUAGGUAGAGGCUGUAAAGGUACAGGGCGCACUCUUCCUUUUGCUGACAUACGUUGACAUUUAUCACAAGACUUACAAAAAGCUGGGAUGUCAGCUCCUACCCCAGGCCAAUAGAAGUGGUGGCAAACCUUACCUCUAGUCUUCUUGUGGGAGAAGUGUCCCAACAUUGGACCCUCAUGGGCAAGAGACAACACCAGGCGACGACACUCAGCAGGGAUGACCAAAGUCUUUCCCACUUGUUCUUGGUUGCUAGAAGAACGGCACACUCGGUAGAGUAGUUCGAACCACUGCGAGUUACCUCUUCUUCACCAGUUGAUGCCUUAUGACGGAGAGCCUGAAGGGAGGAACAUGAAUCCUGCAGGCGAGAAAAUUCCCGGGGAGUAAUGGUAAUAGGUUGGAGUUCGUGCCACGCGGCUCCGGGUUUCAACAACUUGAACCUUCUCAGGGACAGGUGAAGAAUGCCGAGGCAGACAAACCUUUUUCAAGUUCUCGUCUGGUGUGCUCACUCCUUCCACAUUAGCAACCAGAACACUACAGAACUUAAUUGGAGCACGAACAGCAUCAACAUAACCUUUGUAGAAGGGACAGCAAAGGUAGCAUCGUAUCUGAGGGAAGGAGUCCACUCUUCCUAAAUAGUCAGAAACAAGAACUUUAGGACACUGAGAGACGUCUACAUCAGGUAAGGCUUCCUCAGAUACAAGGACACAGGAACAGCCAGUGUCACGUAUGAUAGUAGAUACUCUCGCUCCAUUGAUGGUGCCAGAAGAAAAGUAGAGAUUAGUAGAUCACUGAAGCAGAAACCCACCUUAUGUGUGUCUGGUUGAGGAGUGCUACCAGUCCUGAACAAAGCUGGAUUUUGGGGACAUCGAGGUCGAAUGUGUCCUGGCUCCCCACAAUUGUGACACCCGACGGGUGUGGAAGACUUUCUGGCCGGUGGAAGAGAUCGGCGAGAAGCUUGGUUGGUAGUAGUUGAUGUAGGUGACGGCUUCUUAGGUCCAGUAAGGGGUGUGUCUCAGGUAAGCACGAUGGGCAGCUGCCCAAAUAUCUGCACAUUUGACAGCGUCGUCCAAGGUCUGCACGUCGUUUUCUUUCAAGAAGGUUCUUAUAUCUGGAGAAAUAGAGGCAAGAAACUGGUCCAUAAUUACAAAAGAUCAGAGUUUAUGAAAAUCUUUCCCCACGUCACAAGUAUCUGUCCAGUUAUCAAAAUAGCUGACAGAACGAAACAUGUGGCGAUAGUGCUCAGCGGACUGACUGAAGCUUCUAAGGAGAGAGGAUUUAAGUUUAGGGUAGUCACAAAUUACGUAAUCAGCCAAGGUAGUGUAGAUUUCUGCUAGCUUACCAGAGAGAAGACCACCCAGUCAUAUGGCAUAGUUGUCCUCAGGAUGUUGAGGAGGGCAGCAAUGCAUUCAAAACGUGUGAAGCAGGAUAUCAUCAUCUUGAUAGACUGGUGGGGUGUAGAGAAGGUCGGGGAACAGUCCCACAAUCCCCAGGCAAGAUCUGGAUCUGUUCGUUCCUUGUUCUUGCAGCGACAACUUCCGCUUUAAUUCGGACAUGGCAAGGGCAUGUUCUUUCCUUUUCCUUCUUUCCUCUCUUCACUCUUUCUCGUUCCUUUUGUCGUUCGUCUCGUUACAAAGCUUGCAGAGUAGAAACAAACUCACAUAGGUCGU
This is an RNA transcript of Portunus trituberculatus (swimming crab), 4660 nucleotides long. It is a transcript of the gene named general transcription factor IIH subunit 3-like, with no coding region annotated. The transcript has 10 exons. NCBI's taxonomy places the organism in Eukaryota, Metazoa, Arthropoda, Malacostraca, Decapoda, Portunidae. The record is from RefSeq and is a predicted model, not a curated record.